UCUUGGUCCAUUUUAGAGGAAGUAAAAGUCGUAACAAGGUUCGCCCAACGUAGGUGACGCAACGAGCUUCUUGGACCCGAAGUGAGUACUCAUACCUAUGGAAGCCUUGCAUUUCAGUCUAUCGUGGAUAGGCCACACCGGCAUGAUGACUGGGACUUCACUGUAACCGGUGAGUACCAGCAGCUGCUAACGCAGCUCACAGAUCAAACGUCGGCGGCUCGGUGGGGUCGGAAUGUCCGCCCCAACUGUUCCGAGUUGAGAUAUGACCGGCCUCAUCACGAAAGUGAUUGGGAACUGUCGCGUUCCGUAGGUGAACCUGCGGAAGGAUCAUUA
Molecule: ribosomal RNA, 333 nt
Filed under: Umbilicaria polyrhizos
Lineage: Eukaryota; Fungi; Ascomycota; Lecanoromycetes; Umbilicariales; Umbilicariaceae
Description: Umbilicaria polyrrhiza partial 18S ribosomal RNA
Source: RNAcentral